GAUGAACGCUGGCGGCGUGCCUAACACAUGCCAGUCGAGCGGAGUGGAGACGAAGUGCUUGCAUGGAGACUCCAUUCAGCGGCGGACGGGUGAGUAACACGUGAGCAACCUACCUUCUUCUGGGGGAUAACACUGGGAAACUGGUGCUAAUACCGCAUAACGUCCCACUGUCACAUGGCGGAGGGACCAAAGGAGCAAUCCGGUGGAAGAUGGGCUCGCGGCCGAUUAGAUAGUUGGUGAGGUAACGGCCCACCAAGUCUGCGAUCGGUAGCCGGACUGAGAGGUCGAACGGCCACAUUGGGACUGAGACACGGCCCAGACUCCUACGGGAGGCUG
This 336-nucleotide ribosomal RNA is filed under the name uncultured Bacillota bacterium. Its description in RNAcentral is "bacterial SSU rRNA". It matches the Rfam family "Bacterial small subunit ribosomal RNA", at positions 28 to 351 of the family's 1533-position model. The record is from RNAcentral. Lineage: Bacteria; Bacillati; Bacillota.